UUGACACUAUUUGAACAAAUUAAUGCAUUUUAUUUCAACAGUAUACCUGAAAUAUAAAUGUAUUGAAAUACCCGAGCAACAAUAAAUCCUUGUACAAUGUAAAGAUAUUGUACUCAAUAAUUGUCUCCCCUCUAUUUGUCUAGCUCAGAAAACUCACGACAUUAUGCUUUCUUAUUGCAACACCAUUACAAUUGGAACAAAAUGUUCUCUUCAAUCAAUUCAAAGUGAAACAUUGUUCAUGAACACAAAUAGAAUCAAAAGUCAUGGCAUUAAAAUAAAACACUCCAGUAGAAACAAACUAGAGACAUAAUGUACUAUUUCAAAAUAGGGGACAAAUAAACCUACUUUUGAAACACUCUGAGAACAGGUUUCACUAGAAUUGAAUUUGUAGGAGAAACAUUUAUUGAUCUCUGAAUUGCAUUCAAACUAAGAUUAAUAUAUUGAAAUUAAAAUUUGAUUGUAGACAUAAAUGAAAUCAUCAUCUAAGUUUGUCAUGAGCAGAUGAGAGUCUUAAUCCUAAAUGGCAGAUGAGAGUCUUAAUCCUAAAUGGCAGAUGAGAGUCUUAAUCCUAAA
Biomphalaria pfeifferi is the source of this 573-nucleotide non-coding RNA. The record is from the annotation of a GenBank genome assembly. Lineage: Eukaryota; Metazoa; Mollusca; Gastropoda; Planorbidae.